RNAcentral lists this long non-coding RNA (7065 nucleotides) under Daucus carota (carrot). RNAcentral describes it as "long non-coding RNA (DCAR_LNC002147)". The record is from RNAcentral. Lineage: Eukaryota; Viridiplantae; Streptophyta; Magnoliopsida; Apiales; Apiaceae.
GCUAAGCAAGUAGCUAACUAUCUCUACAACAACUUCUUAGAUGGACAAUCAGCUUCUCGACCUUUCGGGUCUGCCAUUUUAGAUGGCGUAGACUUUGACAUCGAACACGGUUCCAGUCUUUACUAUGAUGAUCUAGCACGGGACCUCUCGGGUUUCAGCACACCACAGAGAAAAGUCUACUUGUCAGCAGCACCACAAUGUCCUAUCCCUGACGCUAAACUAGACGCUGCAAUUCAAACUGGCCUUCUCGACUACGUCUGGAUACAAUUUUACAACAACCCACAGUGUCAUUACACAGGCACAGCUACUAAUCUUUUGGCAAGGUGGAGAGAGUGGGCUGCCGCGACUCCACCACGCAGUCAGAUCUUUCUUGGAUUACCAGCGGAUACCGCAGCAGCACCUAGUGGUGGCUAUAUAUCACCGAGUGCAUUAAUCUCUGAAGUUCUUCCAAGUAUCAAGACUACAACAAGCUAUGGCGGUGUCAUGCUUUGGAAUAAGUUUUAUGAUACGAGUUUUAGUUCAGCUAUCAAGAACAGUAUAUAAUAUGUAACUGGAAACAAAUAUGAUGUGAUACCAGAUAUCAGAACCCGCUUCUUAUCGAUAAAUCUACAUAAACACCUGCUUCUAAGUUUCGAAUAAAGAGAUUUUCCUCAGAGAAACACCAUCAGAGUCGAUACUAAAUUACUUGUAAAUAUUAGUAAGAAAAAAUACAAGUGUUAAUUGCGCUUAACAUUGGGCGGAAAGAAAUUAAAGAAGAAGAAACACAAUCCCAACGACAGGAAAAAAAAAAUGAACUUUUGAUAUUAUAUCAGUAAUCAAAAAGUUCUUGUUAAUUUACUGACUGGUAACUAAGGAUUACAAACAAAACUAAAAAAUAGAGCUGACAAGAUUCAAGAGAGCUCGCAUGUAUGGCACGCGAAAGGCUUCAUAGUACAAGCAGAAUUACACUCAAUGUGACAAACUAGAAAAGGAUGUAAUCAGCCAACCAUAUUUGAGGGAAGCGCACUUUUUUCACACUGUAAAAAUAUUUGCCCUUUUACACCUUCCUGAUCUGGAUAUUGCGGGCGGACUGUAAUCGUUAGAUGGGCUGUUUACCACUCUGCACAAGAGCCACUUGUUCUCCCUCCUUUACCAUCCCUUGCUCCUGUAAAUGAGUCAGGCAGAUUUAAUACGACUCCCAUUGAUGUUGAUAUUCAAAUUUACUGGCAAAACAGCAUGCACAGUUGGAAACUUGGCUUGCAGCCAUGUUUUGAAUAUUGAAUGAGGAAACAAUCCCUACUGAGUAGCAACAAUACAUUACUACUUAAUUCAUCAGAAGAACACAUUUACAAACUCCUAACAGCAGAGUUUCUGAUUUCUUAGAUUCAAAUACUGUAAUUAAAGAGAUCUGUAUAGUAUUACUACUAUAAUUCACCUUCAAGAGAGUUGAUGCAUCUGCAAAGGUUUUUUUUGCAUCAUCUGAGAACAGCAUGUAUAUUAAGGGUAACUCCUUGAUAUAAAGCUAAACGCUCUUUCUUUUUUUAAUAAACCUGUAUGUCAAACCAAUUUUGAACAUAUGUUAACUACUUCACUAUAGAAUAGGGGAUCCAUAAUGAUUAGAAGGUUCAAACAUGUUCUUGAAUAAAAUUCAGCAAUUAUCUUGUAAACUUUGGGGGAUGGAUAUGUACUCUUAUCCUAUAUGUUUGACUACCAUAAUCAUAUAUUUAUAAACCAAUUUUUUACAUAGGUUAACUACUUCACUAUUUAAUAGUGGAUCCAUAAACAUAUAGGAUUUUGGGGGCUUAUACUAUAGGAUAAUGUGCUAGUGACCCCUGAUAGUGACCAACUUUAAACUCAGAGUGCCAAUUUUACUUUAUUCAUAAUGGAAUUUAAAUACAUAAUUGUUAAAACAAUGGAGGAAGAAGAAUAAGAUACCAGCACAUCAACUCAUAGAAAGUAGAAUAUUCCCCGAUGCCUAGUUGCAAACCCAUAAUGCUUAUUACUGAUCAAAUUGCCCUAGGAAACACGACAAGGCUAUGCUGAAAGAAUAAUACAACAGCGCUUGCAUAGAAGAUAAAUAAAGCAGUAACAAUUUCCUAGGUAACAGGGGCUAUUAAAAGCACCUCCAUUUCUGGAAAGGGGAAAAACUCCAUCUAUACAUAAAGCAGAAAUACAUACUAUUGCAAACCAAAAACAAGACAAUAAUUGGAAUGUGAAUAAAACCCUUGCAAAAGAAUGGGGCAAGCAUUAAUUCAAACUUCAGAUAUUUGAGGUAAUUGUAGAUUGCCUGAAGUGUUUCAAACAUAAUCCUUCUUGCAUAACAUCAACAAUUUAGUCUUGUUACUUAUUUUAUGAAGAAAAAGAAACCAAACAACUUUCAUCUGAAUAAAUCAUUUGUUAUUUUAAAAAAUUGACACUAGAACCUGCGUGAUAUACAGGAAAAAGAAUAUAGCACUGUAGCCAUUUGAAAUUCAAGAAUUCAUAUAAUCAUGUUAUAACUCACUGGCUUUAAGCCUUUAUUGGAAGUUGGAAGAUAACAUUAUCAGGUUGAAAAAGUAGUGUUCAGAAAAAACACAGCUCCUGGUAGGGCUGUAAAUUGAUACGGACUAUCCGGUGUCUCGGCUCAUAUCCGGCUCGAAAAUAUGAUACAUGUCUCAUAUCCGUUUUGAAAACGAUCCAAACCUGGCGGAAAAAUUAAGCCCGUAUAAUAUAUGAUCCCGGAUACGAGCACACCUAUACCCGCUCAGAUUCGGUCUCAUAUAAUUUUUCAUAAUAUGAUCCUACCCGAAUAACCAAAUAUGAUCCACGGUUCAUAUUCGAUUCAAACUCAUAUAUAUAUAUAUAUAUUAUAUUUUAACAUCAUCAUAUUUGCAAGUAAAUAGUCAUCAUUUUAUAAAAUUUUAAUAUCUUAUUUAAGUUUAUACCUUCAUAAAAUAUGAUUUAUUUAAUGUGAUCAUGCUUAUUAUCUUCAUAUAUAUUUAAUAAAUGAUAUAUACCAACAUAUAACUAUAAGUUUUAAUUUAAAAUUAUUAUUCUUUAUAAUAUUAUGUUUACUUAGACUAAAUGAUAAUUAUUUGAACAAUUGAAAUAAUAAUGAUAUUUAGUGUUAGUGGAUCAUAUCCGGCUCAUAUUCGAUGGAUCAUAAACUACCCGGUUAAAAAAUAGAAAAUACGAUACUGGAUCAUAUCCGGUUCAGAUCCGAAUCUCAAAUACCCGGGAUCGGAUUAUAUCCGAAUAAAACGAUCCCGGACCCAAAUCUGGACAAGCUAAAAAUAAUAUGAUCCGGUACUUGAGCAGAGGGGUACCCGGGAUCACCCGGAUCAUUUUACAGCCCUAGUUCCUGGGGCUUAAAAUCAUCCAUAAAUUACAAGAACCCAAUUUAUUUUCUACAAUUUUAGCCAUCACAAUUUUCCUCAAAACAAAAAAGCUCUACUCUAUUCGUACCAAACAUAUUGCAUUUAGAUAUAGAACAUAAAACAUAAGCACCGGAAGAGACCGGAAACAUCUUUUUUACUACCGAACAACAUUAAAAGUCAAGUAAAAUUCUUAAUAUCUAUGUCCGACUCGGAGACUUCGCACGGACAUUCAAUUCAAUUAAAAGACAGAAACAACAAUGAAGUCUUUUAAAAGGACAAAUCUGUUUUUUAAAUUACUAGUAUAAUACUUAUAAGGAUAAGAAAUAGGAGACCAUCAUCAAUUCAUAGACAACAAGGAGACAAGGUUAAUUUCACCUCUCAUCAUACCAUAUGUAAUUAUUUGAGAAAUAUGACACCUAGACAAAGCACCUUUUUAUUCAGGUAAAGUUGACACUAGUCCAUUUGGGUACAUCAGGACAGUAGCUGAUAAUAUGUACACACAGCAUUUGGUAGGCAGGAUAAUAUAAACCAUGUAAUUUCCAAUAUCUACAAUGCACAAACAAACAGAAAACAAAAGCAACAUCAAUUAUCAAUAUACCUAUCAGACAAUCCAAACCUAAAAUCCACGAAAAUCAACAUCACACAUAUGAUUCUGGCUUCAAUCAAUAGUCGACCUCACAAAGUAAUUCCACAUUUAUGUACUAAACUAUAUGGCAUAUCACAAAUAUAAACCUAAAAAAACUAAAUAACACACACAAUAAACAUUCAACAAAAACAAGAAAUAUACCUAACAAUCCUCCUCCUCCUCAUCAUCAAGUAACAACUCUGCAUUGCCUAGCAUCACCAACCAUCGAUCCCCGUCCACUACUCAACGUCAAUCCCACGGGCACAUCCCGACACAAAACCCUAACAUACCGCUUCCUCGUCCCCCACGCUCCAGCCUUAAACCUAGCUCUAGCCAACAACCUAACACUAAACCUAACACUCCCUCUCCCUCUAUCACCACCAAUAUCCCUAACAACCCAAUCAUCAACAUACGCUCCCACAGCACCAAAAGUGGCCUUCACCUUGGUCUCAUUCCUCUUCCCUUGACUAAACGGAGGCAACGUAGUCGAUGCCAGCCCCUCCGACUUAUAAAACACAUCGGCAUCAAUUCGAUCAUAAUUCACCGUGAUCUUCUUGUUCGGAUUCCUCACAGUAAACUCAACUUCCCAGUUGCCGGAAACCAGAGAGCUGGAGAUAUUAAAGUUAGAAACAGUCACCGAGUCGACUCGAAACUCAGGGACUCGAGGCCUAAGUACUAGCCAAAUUAUCAACAAAACGGUGCCGGAAAUGAUGAUACAGGCGAUUAUGAUUGAGAAGAGGCGGCGGAUGAAAGCGCGUUGAGGAUCGGGUUGGUUGUAGUAGGGGUUGUGAGUGUAGUAGGCGGCGUUGGACGGUGGCGGGGCGGCGUAGGGGUAGGCGGUACCGGAGGAAUAGCCGUUAGGGUUAGGGUUAGGGUUAGGGUGGGCGGGGUAGCCGGUAACGGGUCGGGUCGGAUUGGUGGGGUUCAUUUGGGGAGAAUAUAGAGGAGUGUUUUGUGUGUAGAGGUUGUAUGUAUAGGAGUAGAUGUGAAGGAAAGUGUGGGAGAAGUGUGUGGAAGAUGAAGGAGUUUCUAUGAGUUAAAGUGAAACGGGGUUGGAGGGAGAUUGAUUUGUCUUUGGGGUAAAUUAGUCGAUUUAGGUAAAAGGCGGUGCAACGUUUAGCUCAUAUUUUCGUAUAAGAUUUUUAUUAUAAUUUUUUGGUUCAUAUUUUUAUUUUUUUAUGAUUUAUUUUUUGUAUAUCAAAUAAAAUUUGGUUAAUGGAUAUUUGACCUGUCAAGUCAAAGUAAAGUUUAUCGCUACAUUACAUAUGUGUUUUUCAUUCGAGGAUAAAAUGAUUUUCAAGUGAUUGUCUAAAUUUUUUUAAUUUGUGAUUAUAAUAAUGUUUAAGUAAGAGCAUGUUAGUACGGAUUUUAAGUAAUUUUCGAUUUCAAACUGAAAAAUGUAUGUUUUUGUAUUAAGUCAAAAGUCGAUUUAAAAUUAUAAAUAAAUCAAAAAUUGAUUCAAAGUCUGAAGCUAAUUUGAUAUUAUUUUAUCGAUGAUUUUUUUCUUUUCCAUAUUUUUAUACAAAAAUUAAAAUCAAAAAAUGAUGUCUUUAUAGUAUCGUCAAUUUUACGCCAAAAAUAUUCUUGGUUGUUUAAGGCCAGUUUCUACUAAAAUCUAAUAUGCUCUUGGUUCUUUGAGGCCAGCUUCUACUAAAACCUUGAUAACGAAUUCAAACUCUACGACUCUGGGAAAAAUUUCGUCAUGACGACAUAAUAAUACCUAUGCACAAGUAAGUUUGAGGAUUUGAACAUGGGUGAUGUAUUCAAACUUGCAAGUUCUUAUUCAAAUAUAAAUUUCCACCAUUUCUCAACAGGUUAGCCGCAUUGUCUUUCACACGAAAAAGACAUAUAUAUAUACUUUUAUCGCAUAAUAUUUGUCAAUAAAUUAUCACUCAGAUGCAUCAUUGAUAUUAUUGGAGUUCUUGAAAAUUACGGCCAUCUUCAACAAAUCAAAAUAAUGUAUGGACAAAGAAGUAUCGUGAAAUUCAGGAUCACAAAUGAAUGACAAAUAUAUUUUGAUAUAAUACAAACAUCCUUUUUGACUACUUAAACUACAUUUGAGUUUGAAUUAUCUCACGUGGCUGUAGUUAUGCAGGUAUCAUGAUUGCUAAAUACAGUAAUAUUUUAUAGUAAUCACAUAUUACCAUAAUAUCUUUCAUUUAUUUUUUUUGUUAAAUACAGUAAUAUUUUAUAGUAAUCACAUAUUACCAUAAUAUCUUUCAUUUAUUUUUUUUGUUUUCUGUGUACGCAUCAGUGCAGUCAUUAAUUUUUCAUGAUGGCUAAAUGCAGUAAUAUUUUACUCCGUGCAGUAACUAGAAAUUACCAUAAUAUCCUUCAUUUAUUCUUUUGUUUCAUGCGGGUUGAUCUCGCAAAUAAAGCACAAAAUGAAGGCUCUUUGGCGUCCACUUGCGCAUCAUUGCUUUCUUAAUAACCUCUGAGAGUGGCCGAACUCCGGCCCUAAAGAUAGCUGGCAAUUGUGAUGCUGCCUCUAACGGCUGCACCUUCUAGAGCUCCCAGAUUUCUACUUGCCAGAGCAAUGUCAUCAAAGUCCUCUCUCUUCUGGUGGCGGGUAGGGUCGGAAACAAGCAUGUCUUCUCCUGCUGAUGCUAAGCAAGUAGCUAACUAUCUCUACAACAACUUCUUAGAUGGACAAUCAGCUUCUCGACCUUUCGGGUCUGUCAUUUUAGAUGGCGUAGACUUUGACAUGUCCGAUUUCGAGAGAAAAGGCAUUCGUCUUUACUAUGAUGAUCUAGCACGGGACCUCUCGGGUUUCAGCACACAACAGAGAAAAGUCUACUUGUCAGCAGCACCACAAUGUCCUAUCCCUGACGCUAAACUAGACGCUGCAAUUCAAACUGGCCUUUUCGACUACGUCUGGAUACAAUUUUACAACAACCCACAGUGUCAUUACACAGGCACAGCUACUAAUCUUUUGGCAAGGUGGAGACAGUGGGCUGCCGCGACUCCAUCACGCAGUCAGAUCUUUCUUGGAUUACCAGCGGCGCGACUCCAUCACGCAGUCGGAUCUUUCUUGGAUUACCAGCGGUGCGACUCCAUCACGCAGUCAGAUCUUUCUUGGAUUACUAGCGACUACUGCAGCAGCAC